CCAUGCAAGAGUAAGAAUUAAAAUAAUGUUGUUUAUAUCAUAAAAAGUGUCUAGUACAAUUUCUUGCUUUUCUUUUUGUAACACACACUUGUGUGUAUUGUACUGUAUACACACAUGUAGUAUACAACAAAAAGGAGGCCCAGAGAGGUUAAGGACCUUGCCUAGGAUCACAGAGCCAAACUGGAGAGGAAGGAAGCACUUGCUGAAUCCCAGAUUCCAUAACAUUUAUUGGAUUAUAGACACAAUGUGAGCUAUCUAGAAUAAGCAUCUAUUAAGCAUGUAUUUAAUCUCUACAACAUCAUUGGGAUAUUAUUGUAAUAUUACCAAUGAUAAUCUUGAGUAUCUUGCUCAAGGCCACUAUGUAGGCAAUGGUAGUGCCAACGCCAGGUCCUGCAUGAUGGGGCAUUCCCCUGAUCCCUCUUUUCUCUGUACACUUCCAGACGGCCAUUGAAUGGUAACAGUUGUGUUGAUCCACUCUUAGCUCUUCAGGAGCUUGUGGACCUGGGUGCAGGGCAAGCCUGGCCUCCUUGGUGAGACAGUGCUGAUAGGCCUCAUGAGAAGGUCCUGGUGAUUCCCUGGAAAGAGCGCUGACUACUGGAUGCUAGCCGGCUGUGCUCUUGGAAGCUGCCAGAUGAGGAGGCUGUCACACAAGGACAUGCUCUCUCCUUCUUCAUGUGCAGUCAGGCCUCAACUCUGGAGUGGACUCCCACUGUGGCUGCUUCAGGCCUGGUCACCGCCUCAUUUACCUCCAUAC
RNAcentral lists this long non-coding RNA (754 nucleotides) under Marmota monax (woodchuck). Lineage: Eukaryota; Metazoa; Chordata; Mammalia; Rodentia; Sciuridae. The record is from RNAcentral.